AACGAACGCUGGCGGCAUGCCUAACACAUGCAAGUCGAACGAUGCCUUCGGGCAUAGUGGCGCACGGGUGAGUAACGCGUGGGAACCUGCCCUGUGGUACGGAAUAACUCCGGUAAACUGGAGCUAAUACCGGAUGUGUCCCCUGGGACAAAGAUUUAUCGCCACGGGAUGGGCCCGCGUAGGAUUAGCUUGGUGGGGGGGUAACGGCCUACCAAGGCUACGAUCCUUAGCUGGUCUGAGAGGAUGAUCAGCCACACUGGGACUGAGACACGGCCCAGACUACUACGGGAGGCAGCAGUGGGGAAUAUUGGACAAUGGGCGCAAGCCUGAUCCAGCAAUGCCGCGUGAGUGAUGAAGGCCUUCGGGUUGUAAAGCUCUUUCGCACGCGACGAUGAUGACGGUAGCGUGAGAAGAAGCCCCGGCUAACUUCGUG
This 433-nucleotide ribosomal RNA is filed under the name uncultured bacterium. RNAcentral's name for it is "partial 16S ribosomal RNA". It matches the Rfam family "Bacterial small subunit ribosomal RNA", at positions 29 to 507 of the family's 1533-position model. The record is from RNAcentral.